CCUGUUCAAUCAUGAAUUUCGAAAUUACAAUUUCUGAACUUUCAUAUAGAUUGCAAUAGUUUUUCUCCUUGUCUUUUGUCUUUUCUGGGUUAACCAAUGUGCUGGCGAUGUUCGUAUUUGGGCGUUUAGGAUUUGAAGGGUGUAUCCCGGACUGUUGAAAGUUUGUUGAAUGAUAGUACCGCUAAUUAAGAGAAAACCUUGCAACGUGGGGCUGGAACUGUGGCGACAUUUAUCACAAUGGAGAAUACAUAAGAGUGGACUUCGAGGGUUUUACAUUUACCCUGUCAAUAGCUGUUCAAAUGAUGGGAGCGAUU
Mya arenaria is the source of this 314-nucleotide long non-coding RNA. RefSeq lists it as uncharacterized. The record is from RefSeq and is a predicted model, not a curated record. The transcript has 3 exons. NCBI's taxonomy places the organism in Eukaryota, Metazoa, Mollusca, Bivalvia, Myida, Myidae.